This 464-nucleotide ribosomal RNA is filed under the name uncultured bacterium. Its description in RNAcentral is "bacterial SSU rRNA". It matches the Rfam family "Bacterial small subunit ribosomal RNA", at positions 331 to 793 of the family's 1533-position model. The record is from RNAcentral.
CCAGACUCCUACGGGAGGCAGCAGUGAGGAAUAUUGGUCAAUGGGCGCGAGCCUGGACCAGCCAAGUCGCGUGAGGGAAGACGGUCCUAUGGAUUGUAAACCUCUUUUGUCGGGGAGCAAAAGACGCCACGCGUGGCGUUCCGAGAGUACCCGAAGAAAAAGCAUCGGCUAACUCCGUGCCAGCAGCCGCGGUAAUACGGAGGAUGCGAGCGUUAUCCGGAUUUAUUGGGUUUAAAGGGUGCGCAGGCGGAGGUGGGAGUGGUUGGUAAAAUGGCGGGGCUAGCCCCCGGCCCGCCGUUGAAACUGGCAGUCUCGAGUUGGAGAGAAGUAUGCGGAAUGCGCGGUGUAGCGGUGAAAUGCAUAGAUAUCGCGCAGAACUCCGAUUGCGAAGGCAGCAUGCCGGCUCCACACUGACGCUGAGGCACGAAAGCGUGGGUAUCGAACAGGAUUAGAUACCCCUGUAA